This 497-nucleotide ribosomal RNA is filed under the name uncultured bacterium. RNAcentral describes it as "partial 16S ribosomal RNA". It matches the Rfam family "Bacterial small subunit ribosomal RNA", at positions 28 to 507 of the family's 1533-position model. The record is from RNAcentral.
GACGAACGCUGGCGGCGUGCCUAAUACAUGCAAGUUGAGCGCUGAAGGUUGGUACUUGUACCAACUGGAUGAGCAGCGAACGGGUGAGUAACGCGUGGGGAAUCUGCCUUUGAGCGGGGGACAACAUUUGGAAACGAAUGCUAAUACCGCAUAAAAACUUUAAACACAAGUUUUAAGUUUGAAAGAUGCAAUUGCAUCACUCAAAGAUGAUCCCGCGUUGUAUUAGCUAGUUGGUGAGGUAAAGGCUCACCAAGGCGAUGAUACAUAGCCGACCUGAGAGGGGGAUCGGCCACAUUGGGACUGAGACACGGCCCAAACUCCUACGGGAGGCAGCAGUAGGGAAUCUUCGGCAAUGGACGAAAGUCCGACCGAGCAACGCCGCGUGAGUGAAGAAGGUUUUCGGAUCGUAAAACUCGGUUGGUAGAGAAGAACGUUGGUGAGAGUGGAAAGCUCAUCAAGUGACGGUAACUACCCAGAAAGGGACGGCUAACUACGUG